CCUACGGGAGGCAGCAGUGAGGAAUAUUGGUCAAUGGUCGGGAGACUGAACCAGCCAAGCCGCGUGAGGGAGGAAGGUACAGAGUAUCGUAAACCUCUUUUGCCAGGGAACAAAGACUGGGACGCGUCCCCGGAUGAGUGUACCUGAAGAAACAGCAUCGGCUAACUCCGUGCCAGCAGCCGCGGUAAUACGGGGGAUGCGAGCGUUAUCCGGAUUUAUUGGGUUAAAGGGGUGCGCAGGCGGUCUGUUAAGUCCGCGGUCAAAGCGCGGGGCUCAACCCCGGCCCGCAGUUGAAACUGGCAGUCUCGAGUUGGAGAGAGGUAUGCGGAAUGCGCGGUGUAGCGGUGAAAUGCAUAGAUAUCGCGCAGAACUCCGAUUGCGAAGGCAGCAUGCCGG
Molecule: ribosomal RNA, 396 nt
Filed under: uncultured bacterium
Lineage: Bacteria
Description: partial 16S ribosomal RNA
Rfam family: Bacterial small subunit ribosomal RNA
Source: RNAcentral